GUUUCGGGGCGGAGUGAAAUUCUCCACCGGCGGUUAAAGUCCGCGAGCCUUACGGCUGAAUCGGUGAAAUUCCGAUACCGACGGUAUAGUCCGGAUGAAAGAAU
Molecule: non-coding RNA, 104 nt
Filed under: pig gut metagenome
Description: FMN riboswitch (RFN element)
Rfam family: FMN riboswitch aptamer (RFN element)
About the family: The RFN element is a highly conserved domain that is found frequently in the 5'-untranslated regions of prokaryotic mRNAs that encode for flavin mononucleotide (FMN) biosynthesis and transport proteins.
Source: RNAcentral